RNAcentral lists this ribosomal RNA (1026 nucleotides) under Ahnfeltiopsis intermedia. Its description in RNAcentral is "bacterial SSU rRNA". The stretch from base 1 to 326 matches the Rfam family "Eukaryotic small subunit ribosomal RNA". The record is from RNAcentral. Lineage: Eukaryota; Rhodophyta; Florideophyceae; Gigartinales; Phyllophoraceae.
CACUGAACGGGUCAACGGGUAGGAUGUGCGAGAGCGCUUCCCAAUCUCUAAAUCCGCUCGUGCUGGGGAUCGAGGCUUGCAAUUUUCCCUCUUGAACGAGGAAUACCUUGUAAGCGCGGGUCAUCAUCCCGUGCUGAAUACGUCCCUGCCCUUUGUACACACCGCCCGUCGCUCCUACCGAUUGAGUGGUCCGGUGAGGCCUUGGGAGGGAUGGAUGGACUGUGUUUUCACAGACUGUCUGGCCCGAACUUGGUCAAACCUUAUCACUUAGAGGAAGGAGAAGUCGUAACAAGGUUUCCGUAGGUGAACCUGCGGAAGGAUCAUUCGUAGUGGGAUAGCGGACUCGGCACCUUGUGUGUCUGGUCUGCUUUUCUAUCAUAUCUCGUGAACACUUUUAAUCCAUAUUUUUGUUUUACAACCAUUUCAACCCAUUUGAACAUAAAUAAACACAAAAUUCUGUUUAACCAGACAAAAACUCGUGACGGUGGAUGUCUUGGCUCCAGCAACGAUGAAGAACGCAGCAAAAUGCGAUACGUAGUGCGAAUUGCAGAACCCGUGAAUCAUCGAAUCUUUGAACGCAAGUUGCGCUCGCGGGUAAUCCUGCGAGCAUGUCUGUUUGAGUGUCCGCACAAAUGCGACUUUUGCUCUUUCAUAAAAGAGCUGCUGAUGGGCGUGCAGAAAUGCAGUGAGUCCGGGUCCUUUCCGUUCAUCGGUUGGGAUGCGGUCGCCCGAAGAAGAGAGCGCUGAUUGUCGUGGUCUGUCCUUUUACUUUAUCCUUUGGAUUCAGGGGGCUUUUGGGUGCGGUCUUCCAAGACUGCUGCCUGAUGACACGAUCUGAGCGUGCGCUGCGAAGUAAUUUUAUUGAGCAGUCCGCGAAGUUCGUUUAUUAGGAACGCGAAUCAUUCAUUUGUGAGCGACCGGGAGUGUUUUCUGGCCUUUGGUGUCAAAAGYGUGCAGCCGUGCGCAAGUAGCCAAAAACCAUUUUCAUUUUGGAUCUCAAAUCAGACAAGACGACCCGCUGAAUUU